UAUGAUAAAAAAUUACAGACCUCUACAUGCUUUGCUUGCAAAUGCUGUGUUCCUGCUGGGGGACCUUAAAGCAAUGCAGGGACCAAACAUCACAAUGUUUCUUCACUAUGACAUUGCUUGCCAGCUGAAGCCUCAUUUACAGAAAAACAGUCCUGGUCUAAUGGUGGACACCACAUUUGCAGUGCCAGCCUUUCAUGCCUAUGCUCAUGAUGCUGACUGUCAGGUCACUGACGGUACCAGGUAUGUGACUGGUAGUGGGCUUGCUGACGGAGAAUAGAUGGAGAGGUUGUGGUCCUACCUUAGAAAAUUUGGGAAGAUCACAAAAGAGAUGACACCAUCUCAUCGUGUUGCCCUCCUCACACCCUCACCGAUCCCCUCCUCUACUGCGCAGCCAGGAUCAGGGAGAAGCAAGGUAUGAAUGUAGAACUGGAAAUCAGUUAAGUAUUGAGAUGACCCAUUGUUCAGGAUUGUGUUGAUAUCAUUUUGCACAAAAAAAACGCUGGCGUAUUUUAAACAAUCUAUUAAAUGUUUAGUCACCUUCAUAUGUAAUAGCACCAGCAAUACAACUCCGUCGGCAGAAGGUCCUGAAGGAGGAAACCGAGGCAAAGGAGGAGUUGAUGGUGCUGCUAAACAGCAUUCCAGGCAGCACACAGUCGGACGUGGAAGUUUGGACCCAUCAGAUAAAGGAGUCCCUCAUAGACAAGAGGACGUUGUUCCUUACGUGGCAGGAGAGAUACGUGGAAACUCUCGCAGAGCAACAGCGAGUCACAUAAGUAGUUGCUACAUCUCUGACCUAAGGUUUUAUCCCAUCUCUAAACACCCCUUUCUGCCUGGCUUAGCCCUACCAGUCAUGACUGCCACGUUCCUAUACCCUGCUGUGUCCUGGUCCCACAAUCUCUUGGAUCUGCAUAGCUACUCCCUGUUACUUUAUACUCUUAUCACCACCUCCUGCUGUCACCUGCCCCAUUCCACUACAUGUCUCAGAAACAUGAGUUCCCCCCUCCCCUGCAUAAUCUAUUCUACAUGAAGUCUGCUGACCUGUGUGCCAACACUUCACGCUGCAUAAUCCACUCUACACUCAAAUCUACACUCAAAUGGAUUUUGCCUUCCUAACUGGUUAGUUUUAUGUUGAGAUGCUUUCAUACUGUUAUAAUUUCACUUAUAUAUUUGUAUAAUAUUUUCUUGGUCUGACCUGAUGUCCCCGUCAAUCACCGAUGAUAGGAACGCUCAGUUGACUACUCAGCUUGAAAAGUAAAUCGCUUUUAGGAUGUUGUCUCCAUCAUAUUUGUCCCACUGUAAUUGGGCUAGUCAAUAUAGAUUUUAAACCUUUUAAUAUAAAUGUUCACGUUUCAGCCUGGAGAAAAGGUUGAAGGCCAUGGAGAAGAGAAACCAGAUUGUAAUCUGGUCUCUUCAACACUGCAGUAAUUUUGGAAAGUCUGCACUGGAUGCUGGCCACAAUCCAUAGGCUGGUCCUGGAGCGCUCUUUCUAUUGUCGCCUGGUCAGAAAAUAUGCAGGUACUGCAGCCAAUUCAGUGUUGCUGAACACUGCAUCACACCCUGGCAUAUCACUGCUGUUGUUAUCUAAGUCUCAUUCACCCAGGUGUUGUGAACAACUCCAAUCAAGUUGAAGAAACAUCUCGAGGAUGAUCAAUGGAAACAGGAUGCACCUGAGCUAAAUUUGUAGGUCCUGGUGCAGCACAACCACCAGCUCCAGCCUCAGGCCAACCUCCAGCCUCAGCCCAACCUCCAGCC
Molecule: long non-coding RNA, 1752 nt
Organism: Coregonus clupeaformis (lake whitefish)
Lineage: Eukaryota; Metazoa; Chordata; Actinopteri; Salmoniformes; Salmonidae
Exons: 5
Source: RefSeq, a predicted model, not a curated record